This 75-nucleotide transfer RNA is filed under the name Oscillospiraceae bacterium. RNAcentral's name for it is "tRNA-OTHER". It matches the Rfam family "tRNA". From Rfam's summary of the family: Transfer RNA (tRNA) molecules are approximately 80 nucleotides in length. Lineage: Bacteria; Bacillati; Bacillota; Clostridia; Eubacteriales; Oscillospiraceae. The record is from RNAcentral.
UAGAGCGUAGUUUAAUGGUAAAAUGCAGAUUUCAGGGGACUUCUGUGGAUGCGGGUUCGAAUCCUGUUGCUCUAA